This is a long non-coding RNA of Lolium perenne, 982 nucleotides long. RefSeq lists it as uncharacterized. Lineage: Eukaryota; Viridiplantae; Streptophyta; Magnoliopsida; Poales; Poaceae. The record is from RefSeq and is a predicted model, not a curated record.
GAACAUACUAGGUGUGAGUGCUUCAUUCCCAGUCUAUCAACUCAUCGUCUGUACCCCCACAAAAUGCGAAUGUCUACUGGAGCGGUUGAAGAGGCGCAUCUUGGCGGGGAUGGCGUAGGAUUCUGCUAGUGUCUGUGGGUUGGUGGCCAUGCGAGGCUGCUCUGAUGGCUGUGUGGUAUGGCAUUGCCACGAUCUUCACAGCAUGAGGUUUUCUUCUGUGCGGGAUACCGCUGCGGGAUGCUAUGGCUCUGGCCUCCUGUCAGCAAGGAAGCCGGGGUAGCGGCCUGGGGCAGAUGGCCUUGGUGCUGGAUGGGAAACUCUGGCUUCCCGUCGGCAUGGCGUGAGGUGACGCGGCCCCCUUGGCAUGUGGUUUGGAUCGGUGGUCGGCGAUGGUGCCACGUCGCUUGGCUCGCUACUCCUUAGCCCAUGCCCUCUGGCUUGGCGGUUGAGGUUGCACUCCAGGUGAAAGCCUCGCAUUUCGAUGCCAACAACAGCGGCACCCUAGGGUGUCAUUCUCCUUCUUGAAUGUGUCGUUCGGGGAGCUGCGAUGUUCUACCGAUGCGAGUGCUUAGAUCUCUCCAGGUGAAAACCUAACUCCUUUCGAGCGCGCGGCGGCGAUGCUUACGUCGUUACCUUCUCGAAGGCGUCGUCUUGGAGUCUCUUAGCUCUCGUGGUGUGAAAGGUUCGUGGCGGCCAUGUGGGGUGCCCUUGUUGUUGGGGCGACGGAUGCAGGAACGGCGGCCACGGAUUGUGGAAGGACGCUGAGGCAGCGGCCUCGGGUAGCGGCACAGUCAUGGCUUUACGAGGCAGAGUUGUAGCUUAGCUUCGCAUGGGUGUCGAAGAACCAGUGCCCCGAGGGUGGCUGGUUCGCCAGGGAUCGUUCUUUUACAUUUCUUUUCCUUUUCAUCUUUUUUCCUCAUGCCAUGUUGUAAAUGAUAUUCUACCUGCUAAUAUAUGCAAUUCAGCAAUUGGUGGACCUUUC